RNAcentral lists this ribosomal RNA (305 nucleotides) under uncultured bacterium. RNAcentral's name for it is "bacterial SSU rRNA". It matches the Rfam family "Bacterial small subunit ribosomal RNA", at positions 334 to 656 of the family's 1533-position model. The record is from RNAcentral.
CGUUCCUACGGGAGGCAGCAGUGGGGGAUAUUGCACAAUGGGGGAAACCCUGAUGCAGCGACGCCGCGUGGGUGAAGAAGCGCCUUGGCGCGUAAAGCCCUGUCAGCAGGGAAGAAAAUGACGGUACCUGAAGAAGAAGCCCCGGCUAACUACGUGCCAGCAGCCGCGGUAAUGCGUAGGGGGCAAGCGUUAUCCGGAUUUACAGGGUGUAAAGGGGGCGCAGACGGCGAUGCAAGCCAGGAGUGAAAGCCCGGGGCCCAACCCCGGGACUGCUCUUGGAACGGCGUGGCUAGAGUGCAGGAGGG